UCUUUUACUGGUAUGGAAAUUGGGUGAACUAUAGGUACUUACUGAACUACUCGUAUAGGGUGCUGUUACUGAUAAUACGCCUCCGCCUUUUACUUGCUGGGUUGAGUGGGAGGCUCUCACACACUCCUAUGUAUGGAUUUCAAGUUCGAUCUUCCCCACCCAGUAUAGAAAACCCCUAACCAUCUUGGGGCGCUCUUGCGCCCUUAAUAGUAAAGGGGGGCCUGAGGUUCUGGAUAUAAAAUUGAGCAACUUGACGUAANAGUUGAAGACAAAAUACAAAAUGUACAAUAAGUUGGAGGACCUCAGCCUCUAUUUUCUUGUUCGUAUUUCACAUGCCAGAAGUUUGAUCAUGACGCGCUUUAAGGAGCUGGAAAACCGAGUUUUUGACCCCACUAAUUAAUAAUAUGACAUGACAUUAAUCCAAUUUGUUUAGCUUUGAAUUUGUUGAAUCACUUCUUAUUAAAUAAGUUAUUAUUUAAUUAGAGAAGAAAUUAUUAGGGUGCGAGUGUAGGAUGACACAUUACCAUUUAAUUAUAGAGAACGAUGCUUAUAUGGAAGGGGUAAUUUGUUGACUUAUUGGCACAAAACGUUUCUAUAUUUAAAUUUUAGUAUGGAAAAUGUUCUUACAUUUCAAAUUUUUGCAUUUUUAUCUUAUUUUCACGUUUUAUUGUGAAAAAUGUCAUUUUCAUCUAUUUUUUUAAUAAAAAUAUAUUAAAUUAUGAAUAUACCUCCAUAUAUAAAUAAAAGAAAAAAGUUCUCUGCAUAGGCUCGUUUGCACAAAGUCUGUACAAGGGCACACAUAUGGGAGUGCAAAUGGGCUUGUGCAGUAGCACAAUUGUAAAUAAAACAUAAAGAAAAGCAAAGAACUAAUUGCAACAUACUUCCAAACCUUUUUAAAAAGUGCAAGUGAAUUUCAUAUAAAUUACGAAAAAUAAAAAAAAUUUCUCUCUCCCCCCUCCACCACCAUAAACAAUAAACAAUUUCAACAAUAUACUCUAAAUCGAUAAGCCUAACAAUCUGAAUUGAUACUACAAUAUACUCCAAAACAAUAAACAAUUUCCAAAAAUCGAAGUACCAAAAAAUCUCAGACAUUAUAGUUUCAAUGUACCCUGAACUUCUUAGUAUCGAUUCGAUCGUCAUCAUAUCUUUUUCGCAGUUUCAUUUGUUUUCAUAUUUGUAUUUUUGGUUUCUUCUACAUGCCAUUGUUUUUUUCUUUUUUCUUUUUUUUUUGUCCGAAGCAUAAAAUUGAAGCCAUUUAAAUAAUAUACUUGCCAUAUUCUAGUGUGGUGGAGAGACGAAUUCCAAAUCAAGAAAAAGAGAAACUACUGAAGAACUUGCACUGAGAUUUGAUUGUUGAGACAAAAGCCUUUAAUCCUGGUAAUUUGUACGUGUGUGGCUAAUGCCGGGGACGGGAAGCGCACAACUGCCAUUCUAAUGGGUCCUUGGUUUGUUUGCCAAGUUUACAACCCUCAAGCAAAUUGACAAUAUUACUCUUUGCCACGUGUUUUGUGAUGACACCUAGUCUCCUAUAAUCCAAACCCAAAGAUGGGGUUUGAAGAAAUGGAUCCUGCCCCAGACCCACACUUGUCUCUUCAGUUUCAAUGGAGAAAAAUUGAGAUGAAUACAUGAUGGUUGAUGCGAGACCUUGGUUUUGAUGCACCAUUUGAAUUGGAUGAAUAGAUUUCAUCGAACCUUGGCUCAUUAGAUUCAUCUUUUUUCAAAUUUUGGAUUGUCAAUUUUGAAGAGUUAGGGCUCAAUUUUUGAGGUAGCAGAUUGUGAUUGAGAACCUAUUUUGAUAUUAUAAGACCAUGAAUGGGAGCGCCUUGGGGGAGUAGAUGUUACGAUUGGUGUCUAAUGGCAUGGGUGUUGUCGGAAAGAGUCUUGUUGUCUUGGUUUUGAUCUAUGAGAGGAGGGUUUUGGGCAGCGACGAGGAUGGUUUGUUGUGAUAUCUGGUUGGACAGGUGGCGAGAUGUGAUAGCUAGAUGGAGGUGUAUUCGGUGGUGGCGAUGACCGGAAGUCUAUGCGAUGGUAGGGUGGAGUUUGGGUUGAUUAAAGGUGGUGGCUCCAUUGAGUCGCCAAGUCACUAAUGUUUGGAUUUGUUUUUUUUCAGCUAAAAGGGAAAGGAGGAGAAAGUUAUUUUUUAAAAUAAUUUAUUAGGGACUCGUUUGCACUUUUUUUUUAUUAAAUUGGGAGUAUGGAUGCAAUUAGUUCUUUAUUUUUCUUUCUAUUUUAUUUAAAUAGGAGGGUAUAUUCAUCAUUUCACAUAUUUUUAUUGAGAAAUUAAAUAAAAUUUGAUGAAAAUGAAACGUUUUACACAAUGAAAUGUAGAAAUAGGGAGUGAAAAUACAAAAAAUUGAAAUGUAGGGACGUUUUUAUGCUAAUUAGCCAUGAUUUGUUGGUAUAACCUAUUUUUUGGUAGUGGAUCGAAGUUGUCUAUUACAAUGCUUCUUUUGAAGUGUCAUUGAUGUACGUUAAGGCGAUGAUCAGUUUUUCAUGUUCUACCCCUUAAAUAAUAUUUUAAGCGUCUAUUACGUGAAUUAGCCUUAAUUUGUAUGUAAAGUCACGAUCAGUUUGUCAGCUUAGCUAUCCUAUUGAAUUUCAUCUAUCAAACUUCAUUUGCAUUGACUCGUUUUAUAGUGAUUUAUGAUUGUUUGAAUAUAGAAUCACGGCGAGCUUAUUUUGGAUGGUACUCUACGUUCUCUGGUUGGUUGGUCUUAUUUCCUCUUGUUAUCGUGAUUAAAUGGUUAAGAAUUUAGUUGUUGGAGGUGAUGUAUCAUCCUAAUCUAUUUUAUCUAUAUACGUUAUGAAUAUGGACUAGUGUUAUAUUGACAAUUGAAAUGAUCGGUGUUGCUUGCAUCGAAACAAGAAAAUAAAGCCAAUUACAUACCUUUCUUGUGUCCUAGUGUUGUGUAGUUAUGUUAAAACUGAGGGGCACCAGAUCAAAAAUUAUUAGAAAAAAGUUAAUAUUUUAUUUCGUUAUUUUGAGUACGACAACUAUUGUGUUACGAAUAUUUUCAGAAAAAAUAUAUGAAAUUUAUUGCUUUUUGCGUGUUUGAACAUGAGUUGUACGAUUGCGGAUCAACGGCUUUACUUACCAGAAAUUUAGAAAAUGUGGGACCAAUUUUCAAUCAAAUAACAUGAUGAAACGCGCUCUCGCCGAUGCGCCAAAAGUUGGAUUUUAGCUAUAGAUUCCGUGGGCCCUAUUAAUUGAUCGACGGUGCAUAUUUUUCCCCAAUUAAAGUCAACUUUUAAGCCUUUAAAGGCAUGUUUAGGAAUUUUUUUUUUUUUUUUAACGAGGUGUCAUAGCUUGCGCCAGACUAUAUAUCCUCGUCCCUGAACCUCUGGUCCCUCAGCUGCUCAGGGAGGUAAAUCGCAGGAUGUGCCUUUGUUGGUUCCCAGGUUCCCACAUGGCUUUUACUCCUUCCCCAAAGGAAGCCUCCUCCAUGGUGAUUAAUCCACCAAUAAUUCCUCCUUUAUUGGAUCAAAGGUUCCCACCAGGAAUCGAACUCCCCACGCUUGGUUUCAGAACCCCCCAAUGUGAUUGUUCCGCCAACUUGAAUGUACCCUAGGGGGCAUGUUUAGGAAUUUUAUAUGUCAUUGUAACGUUAUACUUGGCCUCGUUUCGUAGUUAUUUUUUCAAAAUGCACUUUUUUUUUUCAAUCACACAUUCUUUAUUAAAAUAAUAUUACACGUAAAUAAUUUUUUUUUUCUUAUUUUUAAAACCAUACAUUCCAUAUCAAUUUACUAUUAUAAAAUACAUUUUUAUAUAAAAAUGACUAUCAAACACCCCUAGGUUAUAUUUCAUUAUAGGAAAUUUGUGCAAUAUUUUCUAACGUUUGCCUAUUUCAAAGAAUACCCCUAAUUUGUUUAUUUUCGUACGAACUCCCCUAAAUCACUCAAAUGUAACUGGAAUUCGUGUUAAAAAUAAUAAAAAUGACCAAAUUCAAUAAAAUCUUGAAGGGCAUUUCAGUCUCUUCAAAUUCAAACACUCGCCUAAGGUCUCAAUUGUUUGGGAAAUCAGUCGAGAGAGAAACCUACUGGCCAUCUGAACGGAAGAAUCCCACGAUUCAAUCAAAAUGAAGAAAUUGAUAUUAUAAUGGAUGGUGAAAAUUAUUUUAUAAUUUUGUUGUAAUGUGCGCGGUGAAUAGAGGAUAUUGUUUUCUGUGAUUUUUUUUAUGAUGUUAACAGUGAAUGGUGAAAAUUAAACUUUUAAUUAUGUUGUUUUUUUCUGUUAGCGUAUAGCUAUAAUGUAUUUGGUUUCUCAUGCAAUAUUGUAUAAAGACGUGUUAUACUAUAACAUUAAUUUCUUUCUGGUUUCUUGUUUGUUGAUUUCGAAAUUUCAUGCGCGUAUUAAGGAAGAAGAAUAAAAUAUUACAUAUCUAUUAAAAAGGUUGAACCCCAAUCUUAAGGGUCUUCCACCACCCCUACCCUGGAGUAUCGUGAGAGAGGUAAAUCAUAUUACAUAUCUAUUGAUAAAAUGUUUGAAUGCAAAACAACUUUGGAAUUGGUCAAAUUUACAAGAUACAUCCAUAAAAUCAAUAAACUUUGCGAGUACAAUCGUGGAGUAAACUUUUCGAAAUACAAUCAUGACGAUCAAAUACAAAUGUUUGCUAAAUUUGAAUUUUUUUUUUGUCUAUUCUUGGGUUUUCUACACCGCAAUCGUUUGUUGAUUUCCUUUCAAUUGGUUUCUCAAACAAACGAGAGCUUAACUGAGUGUUUAGAUUUGAAGAGUCUGAAAUAAUCUUUGAGGUUUUAUUGAUUUUGACAUUUAGGCUCCGUUUGAUUGUACGAAAUUUUCCAUGUAACUUGGAAUUUGAAUUCCAACUUCCACUUUUGGCCUAUUUGAUCGACAAAAUUUUUCAGGAAAUUGAUUUUCCAUGAAUUUCUAGGUACAACGUCUUAAAGCGUGAUUUUUCACAUUUUAUUUUCCUAGGGGUAGCUGGUUUUUGGUUUUCCACAUUUUUUUUUAAUUGUUGGCAAUGAGAACAAAUUCUAAGAAUAAUUGUAAAAGAGGAUAUCUCUGAAAUUGACAAUUUUCAUGUAAAACAAAGUCAAACAAACACCAAAAUGUAGAUGAUUUUUUGAUCUUUUUUUUCCCUUUUUUUUGGUUGGCAAUGGAAACAAAUUCUAGUAACAAUGGUAGAAGUGGAUAUUCCUUAAAUUGACAAUUUUCAUGUAAAACAAAGUCAAAUAAACACCAAAAAACACUUUUACUUCAACAUUUUCCACGUGAAAAAUUACACCGAUCAAACACAAUAAUUUACAAUUCCCAGUAAAACAAUUUUUAGGUAAUUUAAUUUCCUGGAAUCCAUUUUCUUUCUACUCAAAUUCCAUCUUCGCAAUCAAACAGACCCUUAAAUUAACAGCAGGGAUAUUCAGCAACGUUUGAAUGAUUUGGGGAUUGCACCAAAAUGAACGAUCAGCCAAAUGUGUUCGAUUUAAAGAAUUUUAAUAUUAAAUUAUAUUCAAUAAAAUUUAAAUUAGAUAUGUGAAUUAUUUUGGUUAUGACGUUCAAUCCACUCGAUUGAUAUCACCUCAACUAAUCAACAUGUAAUAUCCGUCAUUGUUUUACAUUUAGUCGCACAUCAUCUUAAUGCUUCCGGUCCGCCCUAUUUAUCUUCUAUUAAACUAUUUAUGCUUUAACAACUCAAAAACUUGGGCAUGAAACGAAUCUAGAAUAAUAAUAACACCUUUUACGAGGAUUAAAUAACAUUAGACGCUACUAAAAAAAGAAGUUAAAUUUUAUUAAUUAUACCGUCAAAUCUUGUAUAACACUAUAUAUAUGACAAAUUUUAUUAAACUUAUGUAUUAUGUUAUCUUAAAAUAUUUAUUUAAUAACCAUAAUCGAACUUAAAUGCUUGAAAUAAUUAUUUUAAUCAAGCUAUUUAUUUAACGACUAAACUAGUACAAGAAGGCAAGAAAAUGGUUGGAUUAACUUUAAUUUUGUUUUAUUUAAGAUGCAGCAGUUUUGUCAUAUUGAUAAUGCAAAGCUCUAGCAAUAAUGUGUGAGGUGCUGAAUUUGUCUAUUUUGAGGUGCUGACAUUUACAUUUGUGCUUAUCCUCUUCUACUUCUUAUCCUCUCUGAAUGGACUGGGCACUUAUCUCGCUCUAAUCUUAACAUAUGCCAAUUAUUUAUUGUUCAAGGUGUUGAUUGGUGACAAUAAGUGUUUUGAAACUUGCAAUUAUUAACAUAAUUAUUGCAAUUUAUUGUUUAAUCUUUUUUUAACACAAGGGUGUCAACUAUCAUGUAACGAUCAUGUCUUGACUAGUCUUGCACAGUUCACCUAGGUAUUGUCUAAUUUUUUUAACACAAGUAUUUCAAUUGUAACUAAUUAUGCAUCGGAUAGUCUUGCAUGACUCUUGUAGGUAAUGUAUAAUUUAUUUUCUUUUUACGCUAAGAUGCCAACUUUCAAUUGGUGGCGCUUGCCAUGCCUCAGCCAGUCUUGCAUGGCUCACCCAGGUUUCAAGCUGCCACUCGAAAUGCAAGCAGGUAGGCCCUAUUUGACAUUUGUAUUCGAAGAUCUUAAUAAUUACCUUGUGAAAGGUAGAAAUAUUUGUGAAAUAUCAACACAAGAACUCUAUUCUAUGUAAGAUGAGAAAAUGGACAUUUUACUUGUUCUUUCUCCAACUUACCCCUUUUUAGCCCUGCAUGGCCCGCUAGUCAGCUCUUUUUUCUCUUUGACAAUCAUAAUUUUCAUAUAGACAAAAACAAUAGAUUAAUGUACUACAAAUCCUCAUAAGUUAUUUUUAAAAAAAAAUAGAAAAUAUUUAUAAAAUUCGUGGGUGGGCCUUAGACUAGAGGCCCUGCACCACCUAAGCCACUAGGUGGGCUCACCCUAGACAAGAACGACCCAGGGCUAAGGGCUGGGCCACCUGCUACGUGAGAUGUCAAACUCACAUAUUUUCUAUAAUGAAUUUUUUAAAGAGUCAGCAUUUUUCAAAAUGUUAAAAUCAAAGGCGUAAAUUUAAUUUCCUAAAUAAAAAUAGUAAAGAGCUCAAUUUUAUCUUGUUAAAGAUCAUGAUAAUAACCUUGUAAUAUUUGUGAAUGAAAACGCUUGUUCUUUAUAAAGUAAGAAAAUAUAUCUCUUUUUUCAUUUUUUUGUCCAAUUCAGUCCUUUUUAAACCGUUCUGUAAUGUACUAAAUAAUCUGCUACUCUUAUGACAAUAAUAAGAAGAAGAAGAAUAAUAAUAAUAAUAAUAAUAAUAAUAAUAAUAAUAAUAAUAAUAAUAAUAAUAAUUUUAUAUGUCCAAAGUGAAUUUUUGGAUUUUUGAAACAUACUUUUCCAGUGGCAUUUUAUUUAUUUGUUUGUUUAUUUUAUUAGGUAGGAACUUGUUCCACGUGGAAAAAAAAUUACAUCUAAGGACCAAAAUCAAAUUUUAACUAAUCGUGAAAUUUCACUACAUGGAGUUUGUUGUUACAAUUUUAUAAAAUUGAAGAGAGAAACUGAAAACUCAAAAGCGCGGAAUAUGGAUAAAGCUAAUGAGAGAUAAAUCAAUGAAUAAUAAGAAAAAAACUCAAGUCACCUGUUUGUACUUGUAUAAAGGAAAAAAAGGUAAAUUUAAAGGUAUUAUAGACAUGACAUCCAAGGUAUGACUUGCCUAAAGGAAAUCACAAUACAACUCGAUCGUAAAACUAUAUUUGAAGUAAUAGAAAUAAAAAUAAAAGCAAGUGAUAACUUGAGCAUAUUACAAAUCUUGAUUAUCUAGCUUAGCUAAUUUACUAUAGUUGAUUCUUGAUUGUGAAUCGAUAUAUCACCAUGACAUGCAGUAGGUGUAGCUUUGAGCAGGUAUUUGGUGCGCCCUGCACUGGUCAGCCACACAUAAUGUUGGUGCUGAGGGCUAACCGGCGGCAAUUGUCUAAAAAAGAUAUGCACAUAAUAUUCCUUUUCUAAUUACUAAUAUGUCAAAUCCACUUCACAAAUGUUAUGAAUAAAUUUAAGGAAAAAUUGCAGUAACAGUUUUUUACCUUUCAUUUUUUUGCAAACUUUACUUCAACAUUCACUUUGUACCGCUAACGGUCCAAAAUCUUUUAAAAAUAUGCAUUUGAGGUUUGAACCGAAUCAACGGUUCUUUUACUGGUAUGGAAAUUGCGUGAACUAUAGGUACUUACUGAACUACUCGUAUAGGGUGCUGUUACUGAUAAUACGCCUCCGCCUUUUACUUGCUGGGUUGAGUGGGAGGCUCUCACACACUCCUAUGUAUGGAUUUCAAGUUCGAUCUUCCCCACCCAGUAUAGAAAACCCCUAACCAUCUUGGGGCGCUCUUGCGCCCUUAAUAGUAAAGGGGGGCCUGAGGUUCUGGAUAUAAAAUUGAGCAACUUGACGUAAUAAAAAAAAACGUAAAUCGAGUUGAGUCAUAAGAUCUAAUUUCAUUCCCAACGGAGGAAAUGUAAUUGUAAAGGUUGGUAGCCUGUGGCUACCUCAGGACACGGAUUACACUGACAGUUAUAGUUAGAAAACAUAUAGCGAUUAAUUGCGCAAAAUAGUCAUUGGAAAUAGUGCCUGAUUGAAUCCUGUCAGUUCCGGGCUUUUAAACUACUUGAUUUAGGAGGUUUCUAUCCAUUUGACCGUUAGAUAAACAAAAAAAUUGAAUUUGGCCAAACUUCGAAAGGCUAAAAUGAUAAUUUUGCUAUUUAUUCUUAUUUAUCCCUGUUAAAAAUUAAAAUAAAAAAUUCAAAAAAUAAAAAUAAAUAUAUAAAUACACCCACCCACGCCCCGCCCACCAAAAUUAAAACAGAGUAACUCUUUUUCCCCGAGGAGACCUUACCAGAAAUUGUCGCCGUCGCCACCUUCGACCCACACCGCCUCCACAACUCCUACUCACCACCAUCCAUUCACUAUUGUUGCCUUCCAGCCCACUGCAAUUUUAAAUCAAACCCAGAAAACUCAUUCCCACACUCGAAAAUCAUUCAAUAAAAAUCUCCGCCAAGCCCACCGUCAAUCUGAAACCAAAAAUCUAAUUCAUCUUUAUCAAAUCCAGAAAUAACAUCCCACACUACUCAAAUCAAAACCAGAAAUCGAAUCAUCUUGCCAUGAUGUUGCACUAAUUUUUCAUUUGGAACCUCUUUAGCGGCAGUAGAUAACCCACCAUCGUCGUCACCAUAACCUCUCUAUACGAGACACACUCAGUUCUUGAACUCUACAGUAGAUUGACUUCUAUUGAGAUUUGGGUUUAGAUGAAGAUUUGAUCCCUAUUUCAAAACCUACUUCUCAACUCGGGUUAGGUGUUUUGGGAAUUUCCUGUCGAUGUUGACAGGUGUUGAAGCCGGGGGUGGGGGUGGGGGUGGGGGUCAGAAGUCGUGCUGGCUGUGGAGGUGCCGACGUUGUGUGGUUGGUGGCAACGAGAUGUCAACCACGUUGUAGGUUGGUUGAGGAAGGAGGAGGAUGAGUGAUGGUGGUUUAUUUUUAAAUAUCAUAAUUGUAUUUUAUUUUCAUUUUGUGGUGGUUUAUUUUUAAAUAUUAUAACUCUAUUUUAUUUUUACUUUGUUUUAAUUAAUUGUUAUAGGGUAUAAAUGAGAUUAUAGCAAA
This 9527-nucleotide long non-coding RNA is filed under the name Olea europaea subsp. europaea. The record is from RNAcentral. Lineage: Eukaryota; Viridiplantae; Streptophyta; Magnoliopsida; Lamiales; Oleaceae.